Helianthus annuus (common sunflower) is the source of this 563-nucleotide long non-coding RNA. RefSeq lists it as uncharacterized. The transcript has 4 exons. Lineage: Eukaryota; Viridiplantae; Streptophyta; Magnoliopsida; Asterales; Asteraceae. The record is from RefSeq and is a predicted model, not a curated record.
CAAUAUUUAUCUCCCCAAAAUUCCCUCUCAAAACCCCAAACCCUCAGAGGCUUCAUCAUCCCAAAUCCCUCUAAAAAUUCUACACACCAAAUUCCCAAUUCCCUCUCAAAAACCCAAACCCUCAGCCGCUUCAUCAUCGAUUCAUCCCAAAUCCAAACAAGUUUCCUACUGAUCAUCUCCUUCCAGGGCAAUAGCCUUGUAUGCUGUACAAAGUGGAACCAAGACCAGGGUUAAAGUUAAUUGGGUAAAGUCAAUUGGGUUAACGCUAAGUGUCCCUAUCAGACGGGAGGUAAAUGUGGCUACUACGUAUUGAAGUUUAUGAAAGAGGUGGUUGACGAAGAAAUUGAAAUACUUGGCAAUGACAAUGUUGGGAGAGGCAAAGCGGUAUACACGGAUGAGGAUAUUGAUGGGAUACGUGAAGGGUGUUCGAGUUAUGAGGCAGCGUUUGUUUUUAAGCGACUAUUUUAGAUGUCGAAGUAUGUACGCCAAACAAUAUUUUUUGUUAACUUAAGAUAUUUGUAUUAUUUUUUACGUAUGACUAUGAAAUGAAUUGUUUUGGUAUA